AGAAUCAACGCUGGCGGCGUGCCUAACACAUGCAAGUCGAACGAGAAAGUGGAGCAAUCCAUGAGUAAAGUGGCGCACGGGUGAGUAACACGUGACUAACCUACCUUUUAGUGGGGGAUAACCUAGGGAAACCUGGGCUAAUACCGCAUAACACUUACGAGUCAAAGCAGCAAUGCGCUGGAAGAGGGGGUCGCGGCCGAUUAGCUAGUUGGCGGGGUAAUGGCCCACCAAGGCAGUGAUCGGUA
Molecule: ribosomal RNA, 245 nt
Filed under: uncultured bacterium
Lineage: Bacteria
Description: partial small subunit ribosomal RNA
Rfam family: Bacterial small subunit ribosomal RNA
Source: RNAcentral